RNAcentral lists this transfer RNA (50 nucleotides) under Heterocephalus glaber (naked mole-rat). It matches the Rfam family "tRNA". From Rfam's summary of the family: Transfer RNA (tRNA) molecules are approximately 80 nucleotides in length. Their secondary structure includes four short double-helical elements and three loops (D, anti-codon, and T loops). Further hydrogen bonds mediate the characteristic L-shaped molecular structure. tRNAs have two regions of fundamental functional importance: the anti-codon, which is responsible for specific mRNA codon recognition, and the 3' end, to which the tRNAs corresponding amino acid is attached (by aminoacyl-tRNA synthetases). tRNAs cope with the degeneracy of the genetic code in two manners: having more than one tRNA (with a specific anti-codon) for a particular amino acid; and 'wobble' base-pairing, i.e. permitting non-standard base-pairing at the 3rd anti-codon position. Lineage: Eukaryota; Metazoa; Chordata; Mammalia; Rodentia; Bathyergidae. The record is from Rfam by way of RNAcentral.
GAUGUAGCUCAGUGGUAGAGCAGCCCUGGGUUCAAAUCCCAGUAACAUCA